GGGCCCGCACAAGCGGAGGAACAUGUGGUUUAAUUCGAUGAUACGCGAGGAACCUUACCUGGGCUUAAAUGCAGGACGGCGUUUCGGGAAACCGGAAUUCCCUUCGGGGCGGACUGCAAGGUGCUGCAUGGUUGUCGUCAGCUCGUGCCGUGAGGUGUCGGGUUAAGUCCCAUAACGAGCGCAACCCUUAUCGUUAGUUGCCAGCGGGUAAAGCCGGGGACUCUAACGAAACUGCCGGUGUAAACCGAGAGGAAGGUGGGGAUGACGUCAAAUCAGCACGGCCCUUAUGUCCAGGGCUACACACGUGUUACAAUGGCCGGUACAGAGGGCAGCUACCUGGUGACAGGGUGCAAAUCUCGAAAGCCGGUCCUAGUUCGGAUUGAAGUCUGCAAUUCGACUUCAUGAAGCUGGAUUCGCUAGUAAUCGCGCAUCAGCCACGGCGCGGUGAAUACGUUCCCGGGCCUU
This 465-nucleotide ribosomal RNA is filed under the name uncultured bacterium. RNAcentral's name for it is "bacterial SSU rRNA". It matches the Rfam family "Bacterial small subunit ribosomal RNA", at positions 917 to 1382 of the family's 1533-position model. The record is from RNAcentral.